Molecule: transfer RNA, 76 nt
Filed under: Actinobacteria bacterium 21-73-9
Lineage: Bacteria; Bacillati; Actinomycetota
Also listed under: 2 other names
Description: tRNA-Thr
Rfam family: tRNA
About the family: Transfer RNA (tRNA) molecules are approximately 80 nucleotides in length. Their secondary structure includes four short double-helical elements and three loops (D, anti-codon, and T loops).
Source: RNAcentral
GCCUGGGUAGCUCAGCCGGCAGAGCAGCGCAUUCGUAAUGCGCAGGUCGUGGGUUCGAUUCCCACCCCAGGCUCCA